CCCUCCCUCUUUCUUCAUGCCUAACACAUGCAAGUCGAACGAGACCUUCGGGUCUAGUGGCGCACGGGUGCGUAACGCGUGGGAACCUGCCCUUAGGUUCGGAAUAACUCCCCGAAAGGGGUGCUAAUACCGGAUAAUGUCUUCGGACCAAAGAUUUAUCGCCUUUGGAUGGGCCCGCGUUGGAUUAGCUAGUUGGUAGGGUAAAAGCCUACCAAGGCGACGAUCCAUAGCUGGUCUGAGAGGAUGAUCAGCCACACUGGGACUGAGACACGGCCCAGACUCCUACGGGAGGCAGCAGUGGGGAAUAUUGGACAAUGGGCGAAAGCCUGAUCCAGCAAUGCCGCGUGAGUGAUGAAGGCCUUAGGGUUGUAAAGCUCUUUUACCCGGGAUGAUAAUGGCAGUACCGGGAGAAUAAGCUCCGGCUAACUCCGUG
Molecule: ribosomal RNA, 433 nt
Filed under: uncultured bacterium
Lineage: Bacteria
Description: partial 16S ribosomal RNA
Rfam family: Bacterial small subunit ribosomal RNA
Source: RNAcentral